RNAcentral lists this ribosomal RNA (119 nucleotides) under Pteropus alecto (black flying fox). The record is from RNAcentral. Lineage: Eukaryota; Metazoa; Chordata; Mammalia; Chiroptera; Pteropodidae.
GUCUAUGGCCGUGCCACCCCGAACCAGCCCAAUCCCAUCUGAUCUCAGAAGCUAAGCAGGGUCGGGCCUAGUUAGUACAUGGAUGGGAGACCACCGAGGAAGACCAGGUACUGAAGGCA